CGGUGUUUAACUGGCGUGAUGUGGGACGUCCUACCGGUGGGCUUAGCCUCGCGAGGGGCGGCCCAACUAAUAUCCCGUCGCGGUGCUCUUUACUGAGUGUCGAGUCGGGCCGGUACGUUUACUUUGAACAAAUUAGAGUGCUUAAAGCAGGCUAUCCUCGCCUGAAUACUGCGUGCAUGGAAUAAUGGAAUAGGACCUCGGUUCUACUUUGUUGGUUUUCGGAACCCCGAGGUAAUGAUUAAUAGGGACAGAUGGGGGCAUUCGUAUUGCGACGUUAGAGGUGAAAAUUCUUGGAUCGUCGCAAGACGGACAGAAGCGAAAGCAUUUGCCAAAAAUGUUUUCAUUAAUCAAGAACGAAAGUUAGAGGUUCGAAGGCGAUCAGAUACCGCCCUAGUUCUAACCAUAAACGAUGCCAGCUAGCGAUCCGCCGAAGUUCCUCCGAUGACUCGGCGGGCAGCUUCCGGGAAACCAAAGCUUUUGGGUUCCGGGGGAAGUAUGGUUGCAAAGCUGAAACUUAAAGGAAUUGACGGAAGGGCACCACCAGGAGUGGAGCCUGCGGCUUAAUUUGACUCAACACGGGAAACCUCACCAGGCCCAGACACCGGAAGGAUUGACAGAUUGAUAGCUCUUUCUUGAUUCGGUGGGUGGUGGUGCAUGGCCGUUCUUAGUUGGUGGAGCGAUUUGUCUGGUUAAUUCCGAUAACGAACGAGACUCUAGCCUGCUAAAUAGGCGUACCUUAUGGUAUCGCGAAGGCCCCCGGCUUCGGCCGGUGGGUUUUUACUACCAACGUACAAACAAAUCUUCUUAGAGGGACAGGCGG
Molecule: ribosomal RNA, 820 nt
Filed under: uncultured eukaryote
Lineage: Eukaryota
Description: SSU rRNA
Rfam family: Eukaryotic small subunit ribosomal RNA
Source: RNAcentral